Molecule: long non-coding RNA, 235 nt
Organism: Terrapene triunguis (Three-toed box turtle)
Lineage: Eukaryota; Metazoa; Chordata; Testudines; Emydidae
Exons: 3
Source: RefSeq, a predicted model, not a curated record
AAUUAAGUCACUAGAUGGGGAAACUGAGGCACAGAGAGAUUAAGUGAGUUGCCCAAGGAUACAAAGGAACUCUGGCAGAUUUGGUAUCCAUUUACUUCCCUGAUCAGAGGCUACAGAAGAUGUUUUCAUUCUGGGUGGCCUUGAUUGUUACAUGAGAGAGACAAGAUGGGUGAGGAUCCUUGCAAACAUGAUUUCUCUCUCUCUCGGUCUUCCCAGCCCCAAUAAGGCUAUUCCA